Long non-coding RNA from Coffea eugenioides, 390 nucleotides. RefSeq lists it as uncharacterized. The transcript is spliced from 4 exons. Lineage: Eukaryota; Viridiplantae; Streptophyta; Magnoliopsida; Gentianales; Rubiaceae. The record is from RefSeq and is a predicted model, not a curated record.
UGUUGCAAACCUAUCUUUCCUUGGUUCUCUCUGAAUUUCUGCUUUCCAGCUAUUGCAGUUUCCUUUUCCUCAAGAGGACUCGUUCACUUGGUGAGGGCCUUCUAUCUUCAAAAGCGUCCAUCAGGGCUCUUCCAAGGGGAACUCUUCCUUCUUCUUGAUAUGGAGAAUAUUUUGAGGCGAUUCAUCUCUUAGUUGCGGAUUCUUUGAGAGCUGGACAUCUGAUGAAUGGUCUAAAGACAUGUUUUGAAGUUUUCCUAUGUGUGAAAAGCUGUGAUCAUAAGCUGUUCUCUCAAUCUGAUGGGGCUAUUACAAGGUUGAUGGAAAAGAUGCCAUGGUUAAUGGACUAUGGAGAAAGUCAAAUUUUUUAUGUACGAGUGGUAGAGUUCAACA